This 1079-nucleotide long non-coding RNA is filed under the name Lupinus mutabilis. RNAcentral describes it as "partial ncRNA". Lineage: Eukaryota; Viridiplantae; Streptophyta; Magnoliopsida; Fabales; Fabaceae. The record is from RNAcentral.
UUUUUGUCUGUCUUCUCUUUUCACCUCUCUCAUUUCUUUUUUUAAUUAAAAAUAAAAAUGUAGGGGUGCAUGAAUGAAUAAAAAGGCCCCCAGUAGUGUAGCAACACAACACUGCUUUAUCUCCACUUUACACUUUCUCAUUCUCAUUCUAUGUAUCCUUUUUUUUUUAAGUAAUUAUUAUAACCCCAUUUCUUGUUUAGAUCCCCCUCUUUCUCUCACUAUUGUAGAAUGAAAAUGAGAAAAACUGAAAGAACAAACACUAUGUGUUGUUGUUAUUGUUGUUUCAUUAUGCUGCUCUCUCUUACAAUCACAAUGGCAGAUCAAAACCUUAAAACUAUAACCAAAGAUGAUAUCAAGUGCACUCCUUGUGGCAAUGACAACCCAGUUCCGGUAUCAUCACCACCACCACCAUCUCCACCGCCGCCAUCUCCGCCACCUUCUUCCACCACCAACUGCCCUCCUCCUCCUUCUCCACCUACCUCAGGCGGCGGCGGCACGUAUUAUUACUCAUCUCCACCACCACCCUCUCAGUACACCUACUCAUCACCACCACCUCCUGCAUCCACCGGAGGCGGCGGAGGAACGGGUGGCAGUGGUACUUAUUACCCUCCGCCGAGUUACAAUAACUACCCAGCGCCGCCACCGCCGAACCCAAUUGUGCCUUACUAUCCUUUCUACUACCAUAACCCUCCGCCGCCGUCCACGGCGGCUCCUCCGCCAUUGAUGGGGUUAUUGUUAUAUUCAGCUUCCUUGUUAUCUCUCUUGAUUUCUUUGCUUUGAUAGAAGGAAAAUCAUUGUAAUAACUAAUAAGUGCAAAGAUUAGCGCAGAUCUAGUAGAAUAUAUGAGAGAGAAAUGAGAGUAAGUGAGUUCAGUGCAAGAACAUUGCACUUGGUUUUGUUUCUCUCUCAGACAGCUUUUGAAUCCAGAAAACAACAAGGCUUUCCAUUUUUCCUCAGCAAUGCAACAAUAUCAACUUGUUUCAAGUACCAUAUAUAUCCAAUUUGUUGACAAUUUAUUAUUGUAUGUAGCAUUUUUAAUCUGGUUAAUUAUUAGUACCAAAAAUAAAAGGAGAAAAGGG